AUUGAACGCUGGCGGCAGGCCUAACACAUGCAAGUCGAGCGGUAACACAGGGAGCUUGCUCCCGGGCGACGAGCGGCGGACGGGUGAGUAAUGUCUGGGAAACUGCCUGAUGGAGGGGGAUAACUACUGGAAACGGUAGCUAAUACCGCAUAAUGUCGCAAGACCAAAGAGGGGGACCUUCGGGCCUCUUGCCAUCAGAUGUGCCCAGAUGGGAUUAGCUAGUAGGUGGGGUAACGGCUCACCUAGGCGACGAUCCCUAGCUGGUCUGAGAGGAUGACCAGCCACACUGGAACUGAGACACGGUCCAGACUCCUACGGGAGGCAGCAGUGGGGAAUAUUGCACAAUGGGCGCAAGCCUGAUGCAGCCAUGCCGCGUGUAUGAAGAAGGCCUUCGGGUUGUAAAGUACUUUCAGCGGGGAGGAAGGUGUUGAGGUUAAUAACCUCAGCAAUUGACGUUACCCGCAGAAGAAGCACCGGCUAACUCCGUGCCAGCCGCCGCCGUAA
RNAcentral lists this ribosomal RNA (504 nucleotides) under uncultured bacterium. Its description in RNAcentral is "partial 16S ribosomal RNA". It matches the Rfam family "Bacterial small subunit ribosomal RNA", at positions 30 to 523 of the family's 1533-position model. The record is from RNAcentral.